AAACAUUACUCAUAUCUCACAGAGGUCUGGAGGAAGUUUGGUAUUCAGUCAUUUCCCAGUGAAAAUGGUUUAAGCAAUGUUUGAUACAUCGCUUAAAUUCAUAACUUUUGAAAGGACACUAUGGAUGAUCAUAGUCAAGUAGCUGAUGUGUGCGUGUAUGUGACAUUUGUGGUUUCUCUAAGGGGUGUGUAGAACUCAGUAAGUUUGGAUUUCUGCUUCAAACAUACACAGACUCAUUAAAGUGGUCUUAUCAUGGUGGCCUUGAAGAACUGACCUGGUUCAUCACUCACAUUUAUUACAACUCAAAACCUUCUGACUGUCUCUGUGUCGUCUGAAGCGUGUUUAUGUUUAAAAGGACAAAAAGGGAAAAACCAAAUAGUCCUUCAAAGCGAGCACUGAUCCCCAAACAUGCCACUCUGAUUUGCUAUGGCUUAAAUCAUGUUUUGUGAUGACUAGCUUUGAUUACCAUUACGGGCAUUUAAGGCUUGCUUCCUGGUCAGACGAUCUGGAGCGGUUCUGUUUCUCUCACAUGGAUUUAUUUUGGGAACAAUAGUUGUGGUCUAGCACACCUUCAGAGAAUUGGGUUGCUAGUGGACAGUUCAUUUUCGUUUAUGGUAAUCCACACAUGGCAAACUCGCAACUGGAAAGUGAUUUUAGGCAAAAACAAUAAGCUUAAAAAAGAAAGAAAACUUAAUGAUUUUUUCCUUUCAUGGUUGGUUAGUGAUUGUGCUUGGCCUUCCAUGUAGUCCAGUGUUAAAGCUAAACUCUUUUUUUUUUUUUUUUGUUUUUUUUUUGUUUUUUUUAUUUUGUUUUCUCUCUCUCUCUCUCUCUCUCUCUCUCUCUCUCUCUCUCUCUCUCUCUCUCUCUCUCUGAGGAAUGAAUGAAGUAGAAGUUGUUGUUCGAUUUGUUUUUUAGAACCAAAGUGCAAUACCCCCCCCACCCCAACAAUGGUAUAACUUUUUUUUUGUGUUUUAUUCCAUGAUAAUCAACACUAAAUAACCGACAAAUUUAUGUUCUGAAUGGUUUUGAACUUGUCUUUGUUCUUCCUUGGAGCUGAAUAAAUUUUUUCCAACCAAUAAUACAUUAGUGAUAUUUCAUUUGUACUUGUUUGUAAAAUGUUUAUAUUGUCUUUAACUUCCUUUCCUGACUAAUGAGGGAUAUGUUGCUAUUUCCCACACUAUCAACAUUUCUCAUCUACUCUUUCAGGAAUUCACAUACAGAAGUGCUAAUUAUGGUUAAAUUAACCUCUGAGCAAACACUUACACUCAGUCUUCCCACUCU
Ictalurus punctatus (channel catfish) is the source of this 1281-nucleotide long non-coding RNA. NCBI's taxonomy places the organism in Eukaryota, Metazoa, Chordata, Actinopteri, Siluriformes, Ictaluridae. The record is from Ensembl.